GCAAGUCGAACGGCAGCACGGGAGCAAUCCUGGUGGCGAGUGGCGAACGGGUGAGUAAUAUAUCGGAACGUGCCCAGUAAUGGGGGAUAGCCCGGCGAAAGCCGGAUUAAUACCGCAUACGACCUACGGGUGAAAGCGGGGGAUCGCAAGACCUCGCGCGAUUGGAGCGGCCGAUGUCAGAUUAGCUAGUUGGUGGGGUAAAGGCCUACCAAGGCGACGAUCUGUAGCUGGUCUGAGAGGAUGACC
RNAcentral lists this ribosomal RNA (246 nucleotides) under uncultured bacterium. Its description in RNAcentral is "partial 16S ribosomal RNA". It matches the Rfam family "Bacterial small subunit ribosomal RNA", at positions 57 to 305 of the family's 1533-position model. The record is from RNAcentral.